This 515-nucleotide ribosomal RNA is filed under the name uncultured bacterium. RNAcentral's name for it is "bacterial SSU rRNA". It matches the Rfam family "Bacterial small subunit ribosomal RNA", at positions 9 to 526 of the family's 1533-position model. The record is from RNAcentral.
GAGUUUGAUCUGGCUCAGGAUGAACGCUGGCGGCGUGCUUAACACAUGCAAGUCGAACGGGAAAUAUUUCAUUGAGACUUCGGUGGAUUUGAUCUAUUUCUAGUGGCGGACGGGUGAGUAACGCGUGGGUAACCUGCCUUAUACAGGGGGAUAACAGUCAGAAAUGGCUGCUAAUACCGCAUAAGCGCACAGGGCUGCAUGGCUCAGUGUGAAAAACUCCGGUGGUAUAAGAUGGACCCGCGUUGGAUUAGCUUGUUGGUGGGGUAACGGCCCACCAAGGCGACGAUCCAUAGCCGGCCUGAGAGGGUGAACGGCCACAUUGGGACUGAGACACGGUCCAAACUCCUACGGGAGGCAGCAGUGGGGAAUAUUGCACAAUGGGCGAAAGCCUGAUGCAGCAACGCCGCGUGAGCGAUGAAGGCCUUCGGGUCGUAAAGCUCUGUCCUCAAGGAAGAUAAUGACGGUACUUGAGGAGGAAGCCCCGGCUAACUACGUGCCAGCCGCCGCGGUAAUAC